AGUGAACGCUGGCGGCAGGCCUAACACAUGCAAGUCGAACGGCCGCACAGUAAGAGUUUGCUCUUACGGGUGGCGAGUGGCGGAUGGGUGAGGAAUACAUAGGAAUCUACUUUUUCGUGGGGGAUAACGUAGGGAAACUUACGCUAAUACCGCAUAUGAUCUACGGGUGAAAGCAGGGGAUAUUCGGACCUUGCGCGAUUGAAUGAGCCGAUGUCGGAUUAGCUAGUUGGCGGGGUAAAGGCCCAGCAAGGCAACGAUCCGUAGCUGGUCUGAGAGGAUGAUCGGCCACACUGGAACUGAGACACGGUCCAGACUCCUACGGGAGGCAGCAGUGGGGAAUAUUGGACAAUGGGCGAAAGCCUGAUCCAGCCAUGCCGCGUGAGUGAUGAAGGCCUUCGGAUUGUAAAACUCUUUUGUUGGGAAAGAAAAACAGCAGAUUUAUACACCGCUGUUCUGACGGUACCCAAAGAGAAAGCACCGGCUAACUUCGUG
This 492-nucleotide ribosomal RNA is filed under the name uncultured bacterium. RNAcentral's name for it is "partial 16S ribosomal RNA". It matches the Rfam family "Bacterial small subunit ribosomal RNA", at positions 29 to 507 of the family's 1533-position model. The record is from RNAcentral.